RNAcentral lists this ribosomal RNA (369 nucleotides) under uncultured organism. RNAcentral's name for it is "bacterial SSU rRNA". It matches the Rfam family "Bacterial small subunit ribosomal RNA", at positions 526 to 896 of the family's 1533-position model. The record is from RNAcentral.
CGAAGGAUCCAAGCGUUGUCCGGAUUUACUGGGUUUAAAGGGUGCGUAGGCGGACUUUUAAGUCAGUGGUGAAAGCCUGUAGCUUAACUAUAGAAUUGCCAUUGAAACUGAAAGUCUCGAGUGUGGUUGAGGUAACUGGAAUAUAUCAUGUAGCGGUGAAAUGCUUAGAUAUGAUAUAGAACACCAAUUGCGAAGGCAGGUUACUGAGCCAUUACUGACGCUGAGGCACGAAAGCGUGGGGAUCAAACAGGAUUAGAUACCCUGGUAGUCCACGCCGUAAACGUUGCAUACUCGAUCUUAGCGAUACACAGUUAGGAUCCAAGCGAAAGCGUUAAGUAUGCCCACCUGGGAAGUACGUUCGCAAGAACG